Molecule: ribosomal RNA, 403 nt
Filed under: uncultured bacterium
Lineage: Bacteria
Description: bacterial SSU rRNA
Rfam family: Bacterial small subunit ribosomal RNA
Source: RNAcentral
AGGGAUAUUGGUCAAUGGGGGAAACCCUGAACCAGCAACGCCGCGUGAGGGAAGACGGUUUUCGGAUUGUAAACCUCUGUCCUCUGUGAAGAUAAUGACGGUAGCAGAGGAGGAAGCUCCGGCUAACUACGUGCCAGCAGCCGCGGUAAUACGUAGGGAGCAAGCGUUGUCCGGAUUUACUGGGUUUAAAGGGUGCGUAGGCUGUGAGGUAAGUCAGCGGUGAAAUGCCCCCGCUCAACGGGGUGAAGUGCCAUUGAUACUGCCUUGCUGGAAUGCGGAUGCCGUGGGAGGAAUGUGUGGUGUAGCGGUGAAAUGCAUAGAUAUCACACAGAACACCGAUUGCGAAGGCAUCUCACGAAUCCGCGAUUGACGCUGAUGCACGAAAGCGUGGGUAUCAAACAGG